Molecule: ribosomal RNA, 245 nt
Filed under: uncultured bacterium
Lineage: Bacteria
Description: partial 16S ribosomal RNA
Rfam family: Bacterial small subunit ribosomal RNA
Source: RNAcentral
GACAUGGCUCAGGAUGAACGCUAGCGACAGGCUUAACACAUGCAAGUCGAGGGGCAUCAUGAGGUAGCAAUACCUUGAUGGCGACCGGCGCACGGGUGAGUAACGCGUAUGCAACCUGCCCGAUACCGGGGUAUAGCCCAUGGAAACGUGGAUUAACACCCCAUAGUACUUUUAUCCUGCCUGGGAUGGGAGUUAAAUGUUCAAGGUAUCGGAUGGGCAUGCGUCCUAUUAGUUAGUUGGCGGGG